Molecule: ribosomal RNA, 439 nt
Filed under: Lactococcus lactis
Lineage: Bacteria; Bacillati; Bacillota; Bacilli; Lactobacillales; Streptococcaceae
Description: bacterial SSU rRNA
Rfam family: Bacterial small subunit ribosomal RNA
Source: RNAcentral
ACGCUGGCGGCGUGCCUAAUACAUGCAAGUUGAGCGCUGAAGGUUGGUACUUGUACCGACUGGAUGAGCAGCGAACGGGUGAGUAACGCGUGGGGAAUCUGCCUUUGAGCGGGGGACAACAUUUGGAAACGAAUGCUAAUACCGCAUAAAAACUUUAAACACAAGUUUUAAGUUUGAAAGAUGCAAUUGCAUCACUCAAAGAUGAUCCCGCGUUGUAUUAGCUAGUUGGUGAGGUAAAGGCUCACCAAGGCGAUGAUACAUAGCCGACCUGAGAGGGUGAUCGGCCACAUUGGGACUGAGACACGGCCCAAACUCUACGGGAGGCAGCAGUAGGGAAUCUUCGGCAAUGGACGAAAGUCUGACCGAGCAACGCCGCGUGAGUGAAGAAGGUUUUCGGAUCGUAAAACUCUGUUGGUAGAGAAGAACGUUGGUGAGAGUG